This 821-nucleotide ribosomal RNA is filed under the name Escherichia coli. Its description in RNAcentral is "partial 23S ribosomal RNA". It matches the Rfam family "Bacterial large subunit ribosomal RNA", at positions 419 to 1241 of the family's 2925-position model. Lineage: Bacteria; Pseudomonadati; Pseudomonadota; Gammaproteobacteria; Enterobacterales; Enterobacteriaceae. The record is from RNAcentral.
GGGACACGUGGUAUCCUGUCUGAAUAUGGGGGGACCAUCCUCCAAGGCUAAAUACUCCUGACUGACCGAUAGUGAACCAGUACCGUGAGGGAAAGGCGAAAAGAACCCCGGCGAGGGGAGUGAAAAAGAACCUGAAACCGUGUACGUACAAGCAGUGGGAGCCUCUUUUAUGGGGUGACUGCGUACCUUUUGUAUAAUGGGUCAGCGACUUAUAUUCUGUAGCAAGGUUAACCGAAUAGGGGAGCCGAAGGGAAACCGAGUCUUAACUGGGCGUUAAGUUGCAGGGUAUAGACCCGAAACCCGGUGAUCUAGCCAUGGGCAGGUUGAAGGUUGGGUAACACUAACUGGAGGACCGAACCGACUAAUGUUGAAAAAUUAGCGGAUGACUUGUGGCUGGGGGUGAAAGGCCAAUCAAACCGGGAGAUAGCUGGUUCUCCCCGAAAGCUAUUUAGGUAGCGCCUCGUGAACUCAUCUCCGGGGGUAGAGCACUGUUUCGGCAAGGGGGUCAUCCCGACUUACCAACCCGAUGCAAACUGCGAAUACCGGAGAAUGUUAUCACGGGAGACACACGGCGGGUGCUAACGUCCGUCGUGAAGAGGGAAACAACCCAGACCGCCAGCUAAGGUCCCAAAGUCAUGGUUAAGUGGGAAACGAUGUGGGAAGGCCCAGACAGCCAGGAUGUUGGCUUAGAAGCAGCCAUCAUUUAAAGAAAGCGUAAUAGCUCACUGGUCGAGUCGGCCUGCGCGGAAGAUGUAACGGGGCUAAACCAUGCACCGAAGCUGCGGCAGCGACACUAUGUGUUGUUGGGUAGGGGAGCGUUC